Esox lucius (northern pike) is the source of this 2198-nucleotide long non-coding RNA. The record is from Ensembl. Lineage: Eukaryota; Metazoa; Chordata; Actinopteri; Esociformes; Esocidae.
AGCGUGCGCUGAGAGCGCGAAUGAAAGCAGAACUCCGGCAGGGAGAGAGGGGAAAAAGAGAGAACUUCGUGAUUCCACUACACACAGACAGAUACGGGAUAAAAGACGAGUCCGUGGACAGUUCUUAUAGACAUUUUUGUUUAUUUUCUUUUUAAAUCAACGUUUGUAGUGGAUGUAAAGGGACUAAAAUAGAUUAGGAGGAAUGUAUCCUGAUCGGGCAACAGUGACCCACCGUCUUCUGAUAUGUCAUCUUAACAUUCUCCGGGCCAUGGUGCUACUGCAGGCAGUUUUAGAGAUGACUGCGACUGUGCCAGAUGGGGCUUCAGUAUGGUUCUUCGUGGUCUGACCAAAUGCAGUCUUCCAGUGAACCACCAGGGGCCCGCGGUCCACAGGUUGAAGACCCCACCCCCACCCCAUCUUCCACCCCCCUGCAGUGGAGACACACCAGCCCCCUGGGCAUGUCCUCCACCCAUUGAACUACCACCAGCCCCCCCCAGAAGCGGAGACACACCAGCCCCCUGGGCCUCUCCUCCACCCCCUCAUCUACCACCCCCCAAUGUUCUUAAAUGUUUUUCAAUGCAAAAUAUGUUCAAUUGGAAUCAGAAUUUGGUUUAAGAUAUGUAGAUGAUACUGACCCGACCAUUUAGCAUCAGUCACAUUUCUGGGAACAAGUUAUCUGCCAUCUCCAUAUUUAUGCAUAUACUAGCUGUGACGAUGUUCUUAUAUCAUAGAUCUAUUUUGUACAUUAUUCUACAGCAGUUAGGCAUAUUUAUGACUAAUAAUAGUCUUUCACUAAGUCAUCACAAAGACAAACAAUGGUUCUCCUUACCACACCUAACCUGUAAACAUCCCGUGACUGUAUUUAACCUUUAUAACUGCCGUAGCUAACCUUUAUAACUGCCCGUAGCUAACCUUUAGAACUGCUGCAUAUAACCUUUAUAACCACCGUAUCUAACUUUAUAACUGCUGUAUAUUGGAGGCAGGUGUCCAGAUGGUGUCUGAGCACUUAUGACAAGUAGUUUCCGUAGUUUUAAUGUUUUAAAACAGGAGCACUGUCAUUGGAUAUGGGUUUCCCCCCUUUGGUGACCAAUGUGAUUGUAAUUUGUUAUUGUUUUUCUGUCUAUGACUAAUCACCAGGUUAAGGAUGUCUGUGUUUGUUCAGAUUGCACCAGUACUCCCUAUUGGUUCUGGUUAUUACUCAAAGUGGUCAUGGGAGGCGGUGCUUUCCGUGCCAUUAUUCCGGCAUGCCGUUCUCUGAGAACAGAGUCCAUAACUCGCAAUGUUAAUCCAAGAUACAUGGCUGGAUGAAGUUAGGUUUUUCACAUGGGAUUUUAUGACGGAACAGGAAUUUGAAGAAGACAGACUGUUGACACUAAAGGCACUUUACCUCGGUAAAACGUCACCCCGGAGGGAUGGGUUCAGUCUUUUUCUAAGACUCCUGUCAUCCUCCUGUGCUCUUAUACAUCUCACUCUUCUCCUAAUGCAUGCUACAGUAACUUGCAAUCCACUGGUGCAUCUCCAACAGCCUUUGCAGACCUCUAGGAAUGUGGAGGAACUAUAUAAUGGGUGUACUUUGUGUGUGUGUGUGUGUGUGCGCGCACGCUUAUGCGCGUGUGUACGUGGAUUUGUGAAGGAUUAGCCUGCGCUCGUGUGUGAGAUCAUGCCAGCGUGUGUGUGUGUUUUGUGACAGUUUGGGACUAGUUGAAAGCGCCUGGAAAGAAAAGAAAGUCACACCACUUCUGUGAAUCUGGACUAAGUCAUAAAUAAGACAGUCCAUUGCUGGUCCCUUGGUGCUUUCAAACAACAUUGUGUAAACCAUGUCAUGCAUUAGCAAUUACCUACUUCCCUUUUCAUGUUAACCUCAUUAUGUUUGCCAAGUUUAUAUGUUUUGUAGAUGGUGUCUUGUCUUAUUGUUUAAUUGAUGGUUACUUACAGUAGUAAUUAAAGGUCAUGCAGUUAUUGUGUAAUUGUAUGUUAAACUGAUUGUUGUGGAUUCUUCUAUCUGCACGCUAAUGUAUACAUUUCUUAUUUAAUUUGUUUAUCCUCCCUCUCACUCCUCACCUUAGUUUGUUGUAUGUUUAGUUUUGCAAGAAGUGGCAGCAGUUGUGAAACUACUCAUUCAUUGGCAGAACAUUAAGCUCAUUAAUGACAGUCUCAUUUAAAGUUCCUUUGUCUAGAUAUUCCAUAUCUUGUGGAAC